RNAcentral lists this ribosomal RNA (757 nucleotides) under uncultured cyanobacterium. RNAcentral's name for it is "bacterial SSU rRNA". It matches the Rfam family "Bacterial small subunit ribosomal RNA", at positions 57 to 850 of the family's 1533-position model. Lineage: Bacteria; Bacillati; Cyanobacteriota. The record is from RNAcentral.
GCAGUCGUACGAGAGUUUUUAACUCAAGUGGCGGACGGGUGAGUAACACGCUGAGAAUCUGCCUUUAGGAGGGGGAUAACAACUGGAAACGGUUGCUAAUACCCCAUAUGCUUUCGAGUGAAAUGGAUUUAUCCGCCUAAAGAGGAGCUCGCGGCUGAUUAGCUUGUUGGUAGGGUAAUGGCCUACCAAGGCGACGAUCAGUAUCUGGUUUGAGAGGAUGAUCAGACACACUGGAACUGAGACACGGUCCAGACUCCUACGGGAGGCAGCAGUGGGGAAUUUUCCGCAAUGGGCGAAAGCCUGACGGAGCAAUACCGCGUGAGGGAAGACGGCCUAUGGGUUGUAAACCUCUUUUCUCAGGGAGGAACUCAAUGACGUGUACCUGAGGAAUAAGCAUCGGCUAACUCCGUGCCAGCAGCCGCGGUAAGACGGAGGAUGCAAGUGUUAUCCGGAAUCACUGGGCGUAAAGCGUCUGUAGGUGGUUUAAUAAGUCAACUGUUAAAUCUUGAGGCUCAACUUCAAAAUCGCAGUCGAAACUAUUAGACUAGAGUAUAGUAGGGGUAAAGGGAAUUUCCAGUGGAGCGGUGAAAUGCGUAGAGAUUGGAAAGAACACCGAUGGCGAAGGCACUUUACUGGGCUAUUACUAACACUCAGAGACGAAAGCUAGGGUAGCAAAUGGGAUUAGAUACCCCAGUUAGUCCUAGCUGUAAACAAUGGGAUACUAGAUGUUGAACAGAUCGACCUGUGCAGUAUUAAA